RNAcentral lists this ribosomal RNA (331 nucleotides) under Trichostrongylus capricola. RNAcentral describes it as "eukaryotic LSU rRNA". It matches the Rfam family "Eukaryotic large subunit ribosomal RNA", at positions 42 to 364 of the family's 3401-position model. Lineage: Eukaryota; Metazoa; Nematoda; Chromadorea; Rhabditida; Trichostrongylidae. The record is from RNAcentral.
AUCAUUUAGCGGAGGAAAAGAAACUAACAAGGAUUCCCUUAGUAACGGCGAGUGAACGGGGAGAAGCCCAGCGCUGAAUCUUUCGGUGUUACACCGUUAAGAAAUGUAGCGUAUAGGUGUGAUUUUCAAUUUGUGCUGCAUGUCCAAAGUCCCUUUGAUAGGGGCCAYAUUCCUGAGAGGGUGCGAGACCUGUGCGGACAGUGGAGCAAAUUGUACGAUUAUACCUUAGAGUCGGGUUGCUUGAAAGUGCAGCCUAAAGUGGGUGAUAAACUUCAUCUAAGGCUAAAUAUAGACGCGAAUUCGAUAGCAAACAAGUACUGUGAAGGAAAGU